This 279-nucleotide ribosomal RNA is filed under the name uncultured bacterium. RNAcentral's name for it is "partial 16S ribosomal RNA". It matches the Rfam family "Bacterial small subunit ribosomal RNA", at positions 506 to 784 of the family's 1533-position model. The record is from RNAcentral.
UGCCAGCCGCCGCGGUGAUACGUAGGGAGCGAGCGUUAUCCGGAAUUAUUGGGCGUAAAGCGUGCGUAGGCGGUUCGUUAAGUCUGAUGUGAAAGCCCGGGGCUCAACCCCGGAAGUGCAUUGGAAACUGGCGAACUUGAGUACGGGAGAGGAAAGUGGAAUUCCGAGUGUAGGGGUGAAAUCCGUAGAUAUUCGGAGGAACACCAGUGGCGAAGGCGGCUUUCUGGACCGUUCCUGGCACUGAGGUGCGAAAGCUAGGGGAGCAAACAGGAUUAGAUA